Molecule: ribosomal RNA, 2877 nt
Filed under: Listeria monocytogenes
Lineage: Bacteria; Bacillati; Bacillota; Bacilli; Caryophanales; Listeriaceae
Description: bacterial LSU rRNA
Rfam family: Bacterial large subunit ribosomal RNA
Source: RNAcentral
UUGGUUAAGUUAGAAAGGGCGCACGGUGGAUGCCUUGGCACUAGGAGCCGAAGAAGGACGGGACUAACACCGAUAUGCUUUGGGGAGCUGUACGUAAGCGUUGAUCCAGAGAUUUCCGAAUGGGGGAACCCACUAUCUUUAGUCGGAUAGUAUCCUUACGUGAAUACAUAGCGUGAGGAAGGCAGACCCAGGGAACUGAAACAUCUAAGUACCUGGAGGAAGAGAAAGAAAAAUCGAUUUCCUGAGUAGCGGCGAGCGAAACGGAAAGAGCCCAAACCAAGAAGCUUGCUUCUUGGGGUUGUAGGACACUCUAUACGGAGUUACAAAAGAAAGUUAUAAAUGAAGCGGUCUGGAAAGGCCCGCCAAAGACGGUAACAGCCCGGUAGUUGAAAUGGCUUUCCCUCCAGAGUGGAUCCUGAGUACGGCGGAACACGUGAAAUUCCGUCGGAAUCCGGGAGGACCAUCUCCCAAGGCUAAAUACUCCCUAGUGACCGAUAGUGAACCAGUACCGUGAGGGAAAGGUGAAAAGCACCCCGGAAGGGGAGUGAAACAGUUCCUGAAACCGUGUGCCUACAAGUAGUUAGAGCCCGUUAAUGGGUGAUAGCGUGCCUUUUGUAGAAUGAACCGGCGAGUUACGAUUUGUUGCAAGGUUAAGCGGAAAAAGCGGAGCCGUAGCGAAAGCGAGUCUGAAUAGGGCGCAUAAGUAACAGGUCGUAGACCCGAAACCAGGUGAUCUACCCAUGUCCAGGAUGAAGGUAAGGUAAUACUUACUGGAGGUCCGAACCCACGCACGUUGAAAAGUGCGGGGAUGAGGUGUGGGUAGCGGAGAAAUUCCAAUCGAACUUGGAGAUAGCUGGUUCUCUCCGAAAUAGCUUUAGGGCUAGCCUCGAGGUAAAGAGUCAUGGAGGUAGAGCACUGUUUGGACUAGGGGCCCUUCUCGGGUUACCGAAUUCAGAUAAACUCCGAAUGCCAUGUACUUAUACUCGGGAGUCAGACUGCGAGUGAUAAGAUCCGUAGUCGAAAGGGAAACAGCCCAGACCACCAGUUAAGGUCCCCAAAUAUAUGUUAAGUGGAAAAGGAUGUGGGGUUGCUUAGACAACCAGGAUGUUGGCUUAGAAGCAGCCACCAUUGAAAGAGUGCGUAAUAGCUCACUGGUCGAGUGACCCCGCGCCGAAAAUGUACCGGGGCUAAACAUAUUACCGAAACUGUGGAUGAACCUCUUNGAGGUUCGUGGUAGGAGAGCGUUCUAAGGGCGGUGAAGUCAGACCGGAAGGACUGGUGGAGCGCUUAGAAGUGAGAAUGCCGGUAUGAGUAGCGAAAGAAGGGUGAGAAUCCCUUCCACCGAAUAUCUAAGGUUUCCUGAGGAAGGCUCGUCCGCUCAGGGUUAGUCGGGACCUAAGCCGAGGCCGAUAGGCGUAGGCGAUGGACAACAGGUAGAGAUUCCUGUACCAGUGCUAAUUGUUUAACCGAUGGGGUGACACAGAAGGAUAGGGAAUCGCACGAAUGGAAAUGUGCGUCCAAGCAGUGAGUGUGAGAAGUAGGCAAAUCCGCUUCUCGCGAAGCAUGAGCUGUGAUGGGGAAGGAAAUUAAGUACGGAAGUUCCUGAUUUCACGCUGUCAAGAAAAGCCUCUAGGAAGAGUAGUACUGCCCGUACCGCAAACCGACACAGGUAGAUGAGGAGAGAAUCCUAAGGUGAGCGAGAGAACUCUCGUUAAGGAACUCGGCAAAAUGACCCCGUAACUUCGGGAGAAGGGGUGCUCUAUUAGGGUGCAAGCCCGAGAGAGCCGCAGUGAAUAGGCCCAGGCGACUGUUUAGCAAAAACACAGGUCUCUGCAAAACCGUAAGGUGACGUAUAGGGGCUGACGCCUGCCCGGUGCUGGAAGGUUAAGAGGAGUGCUUAGCUUCGGCGAAGGUACGAAUUGAAGCCCCAGUAAACGGCGGCCGUAACUAUAACGGUCCUAAGGUAGCGAAAUUCCUUGUCGGGUAAGUUCCGACCCGCACGAAAGGCGCAACGAUCUGGGCACUGUCUCAACGAGAGACUCGGUGAAAUUAUAGUACCUGUGAAGAUGCAGGUUACCCGCGACAGGACGGAAAGACCCCGUGGAGCUUUACUGCAACCUGAUAUGGAAUGUUUGUACCGCUUGUACAGGAUAGGUAGGAGCCGAAGAGACGUGUGCGCUAGCAUACGAGGAGGCAAUGGUGGGAUACUACCCUGGCUGUAUGACCAUUCUAACCCGCCACGCUUAGCGCGUGGGGAGACAGUGUCAGGUGGGCAGUUUGACUGGGGCGGUCGCCUCCUAAAGAGUAACGGAGGCGCCCAAAGGUUCCCUCAGAAUGGAUGGAAAUCAUUCGCAGAGUGUAAAGGCACAAGGGAGCUUGACUGCGAGACUGACAAGUCGAGNGAGGCGCCCAAAGGUUCCCUCAGAAUGGAUGGAAAUCAUUCGCAGAGUGUAAAGGCACAAGGGAGCUUGACUGCGAGACUGACAAGUCGAGCAGGGACGAAAGUCGGGCUUAGUGAUCCGGUGGUUCCGCAUGGAAGGGCCAUCGCUCAACGGAUAAAAGCUACCCCGGGGAUAACAGGCUUAUCUCCCCCAAGAGUCCACAUCGACGGGGAGGUUUGGCACCUCGAUGUCGGCUCGUCGCAUCCUGGGGCUGUAGUCGGUCCCAAGGGUUGGGCUGUUCGCCCAUUAAAGCGGCACGCGAGCUGGGUUCAGAACGUCGUGAGACAGUUCGGUCCCUAUCCGUCGCGGGCGCAGGAAAUUUGAGAGGAGCUGUCCUUAGUACGAGAGGACCGGGAUGGACACACCGCUGGUGUACCAGUUGUUCCGCCAGGAGCAUCGCUGGGUAGCUAUGUGUGGCAGGGAUAAACGCUGAAAG